UUCCCAGAGGCCGACGGGGUCAAUCAUAGGGAACGCAUGAGGCCGCAGAGGAGCGACUGGCCAACCCAUCACAAACACAUCGCUUGAGCUCGACUGGUUGCUAGGCUCAGUAACAUCUGUGCCGGACUGAAGGAGACUCCACACUCACGAGAUGACAAUAAGGAUGAGUUUAUUUCCACACACACACACACUCUCACUCUCACACACGCACACACACAGUUUAAAUUGCAGGGAAACUCGUGCAUGGACUCUCAGUCUCCAGCUGGUGGCGCUGUGAGCUCACACUGAUAGAGCCGGUCCUGAACUCUCACUCUCUCUCUCUCUCACACACACACACACAGACGGUCUUGAACUCUAGCUCAUCUCAUGUUCUCCACUGAGAGUGUGUGUGUACUUUUAGUUUAUCAUAGGUUUAAAUAAAGCAAAAUAAACAAAUUAGUUCAACCAGUGUUUGUAGAGUAAGUGUUUUACUGUAGAGUUUACAUGAACCUUCCCAGAUUUACAGUAAACUGAUAUUCCUGCCGUCGGGAAGCUCUCGUUGUCUUCCUGAUCGCACUGCUGACCGGCUGUAAAGUCAUAACGCCGUAAGCUCAACACUGACACAUCAACCAAUAAAAUAUAAAGUCUCUAUUAGAAACAAAGAGAACACAACAUUUCAGAUAAAUCUGAUAGAUAUUAAUUUAACAAUGAAAGAUAAGAGCUAUAAUCGUAAGGACAGAGUGUUCUGUAAGUGAAGGAAAUUAUAUGAUACAACAAUCUGCUACUGUACAGGAUCUGUUUCGAUCCACAUUAUUAUUAUGGCAGACAAACUUAUGACAGACUAGCCUUAUGAGAUAAAAGUUAAAAUUGCAACUUUCUAUGUCAUAAUAAUACAAAUUUUAAUGGCAUGAUUAGGACUUUUUGAGUAAUAAUCCCAAAUAAA
Molecule: long non-coding RNA, 922 nt
Organism: Pimephales promelas (fathead minnow)
Lineage: Eukaryota; Metazoa; Chordata; Actinopteri; Cypriniformes; Leuciscidae
Source: RefSeq, a predicted model, not a curated record